RNAcentral lists this transfer RNA (72 nucleotides) under Camelus bactrianus (Bactrian camel). It matches the Rfam family "tRNA". From Rfam's summary of the family: Transfer RNA (tRNA) molecules are approximately 80 nucleotides in length. Their secondary structure includes four short double-helical elements and three loops (D, anti-codon, and T loops). The record is from Rfam by way of RNAcentral. RNAcentral also lists the same sequence under 2 other names. Lineage: Eukaryota; Metazoa; Chordata; Mammalia; Artiodactyla; Camelidae.
GAGAGUGUAGCUCAGUGGCAGAGUGUGUGCUUAGCAUGCAUGAGGUCCUAGGUUCAAUCCCCAGUACUGUCA